This 1364-nucleotide long non-coding RNA is filed under the name Homo sapiens (human). RNAcentral describes it as "non-protein coding lnc-ZNF467-4:1". The record is from RNAcentral. Lineage: Eukaryota; Metazoa; Chordata; Mammalia; Primates; Hominidae.
GCCCAUCAGUUGGCAUUCUACGAAAAUAUGGAGCCGUCGUGAGCUUGCAUCACCUUGUGCAAGAGCUAUGGCUAUGCUGAGCUUCUCCACAUAUUUCCAACUUUAGUACAUGGGCAGGUGAGGCAAGCACCACUCUUACCUUCGAAUACCACACACACACACCACACACACAUAUCACAUAAUACACACCCCACAUACCACACACACAACAUAACACACCACAUAACACACAUGCUACAUAUGACAUCAUACAUCAUACACACCACACACACACCAAAUACACCACAUGCCACACAACUUACAUACCACAUCAUACACACCAUACACACGACACACAGCACAUAACACACCACAUGCCAUACAUCCUACAUACAUCAUACACACCAUACACACACAUCAAAUACCACACCACAUGCCACACAACCUACACACCACAUCAUACACAGCAUACACACGCAUGACACAUAGCACAUAACACACCACAUGCCACACAACCUACAUACCACAUCCUACACACCACACACACACACCACACACACCCCAUAACAUACCACAUCACAUACCACACACACCAUAUACCACAUCAUAUACACCACACACAAACCACACACACAAACACAAACACCACACACACCACGCACACCUACACCCACAGACACUGUACACCAUACACCACACUGUACACACCACACACCACACCACACCAGACACCACACAUACAGCACACACACAAACACACCACACACACUGCACUAUAUACCACACACACUCCAAACCCCACACGCAUUACACAUCACACCACACACACACACACCAGAUAACAUACCACACACUACAUACCACAUGUACCACACACAACACACAUCCUACAUACCACACACAGCACAUACCACAUACCACACCACAUACCACACAUUCCACAUACGACAUCAUACACACCACACACACUGCACAUAUUAUACCAACACAUCCCACAUACCAUAUCAUAUACACCACACACAAACCACACACACAAAUGCAAACACCACAUACACCAUACAUACCCACACACACAAACACUGUAUACCAUACACCACACUGUACACACCACACACACACACACCAUACACACACAAACACACACACACACAAACUUCUGUUGAGGCUGUGCCCCCACCACUUGGAGCCACUACAUCUCCCUACCUCAACUUCUUUCCACUUGGUAGUCCUGUCUUCUGAAGUUAGUAAAUGCAGGCGUGAGGCAGGGAGGCGCUUUGGCUGAUCGGCAGAACCCUGGGAUGAGCCACGGCAUGGCUGUGUGGCACGUGUGGUGUGGGUGUGGGUAGGGGGAUCCCGCCACGCGUCCUUCCCACCCUGGGUCCUGU